AAACAAGGAAGGAGAUGCUGGUGGGUAGUAUGCAUCUUUUUUCACCUGAAUAGCUAGAAAUGGACGAAUCAAUUAUCAAAGAGAAUACCAAAGAAUUGAGAAGGAACAAGAAAGAAAGAAAAAAAGACAGGAGACAAUGUGCAAAAAGUGCAAGUGAAGGAAAGCAAAGGAAAGAAAAUAUAUUUUUUCUUUGGACGAUUUGUGGAAGACACAAAACAAUCUCAAGAAGAGAGCGACUGUUAUCUACUGGAUAUCUGAGCAAAGGGCCAAAAAAGCACAAGAAAUCCCAAUGAUAGAUUCACCUCAUCUUCA
This 312-nucleotide unclassified non-coding RNA is filed under the name Hevea brasiliensis (rubber tree). Lineage: Eukaryota; Viridiplantae; Streptophyta; Magnoliopsida; Malpighiales; Euphorbiaceae. The record is from RNAcentral.